This 575-nucleotide ribosomal RNA is filed under the name uncultured bacterium. RNAcentral's name for it is "partial 16S ribosomal RNA". It matches the Rfam family "Bacterial small subunit ribosomal RNA", at positions 355 to 920 of the family's 1533-position model. The record is from RNAcentral.
UGGGGAAUUUUGGACAAUGGGCGAAAGCCUGAUCCAGCAAUGCCGCGUGUGUGAAGAAGGCCUUCGGGUUGUAAAGCACUUUUGUCCGGAAAGAAAUCCUUGGCGUCUAAUAACAGUCGGGGGAUGGACGGUACCGGAAGAAUAAGCACCGGCUAACUACGUGCCAGCAGCCGCGGUAAUACGUAGGGUGCAAGCGUUAAUCGGAAUUACUGGGCGUAAAGCGUGCGCAGGCGGUUUGCUAAGACCGAUGUGAAAUCCCCGGGCUCAACCUGGGAACUGCAUUGGUGACUGGCAGGCUAGAGUAUGGCAGAGGGGGGUAGAAUUCCACGUGUAGCAGUGAAAUGCGUAGAGAUGUGGAGGAAUACCGAUGGCGAAGGCAGCCCCCUGGGCCAAUACUGACGCUCAUGCACGAAAGCGUGGGGAGCAAACAGGAUUAGAUACCCUGGUAGUCCACGCCCUAAACGAUGUCAACUAGUUGUUGGGGAUUCAUUUCCUUAGUAACGUAGCUAACGCGUGAAGUUGACCGCCUGGGGAGUACGGUCGCAAGAUUAAAACUCAAAGGAAUUGACGGGGUC